AUGUACCACUCGUACACUCCGGUUCUGAGCGCGCCGUCCGCACCCACCUGACGACUGUUCGCUACGUUUUGUUAGCC
Molecule: small RNA, 77 nt
Filed under: Xanthomonas populi
Lineage: Bacteria; Pseudomonadati; Pseudomonadota; Gammaproteobacteria; Lysobacterales; Lysobacteraceae
Description: sX9 sRNA
Rfam family: Xanthomonas sRNA sX9
Source: RNAcentral